CAGCACAUGCUCUGAUACUACUUCUAAGCACAGAAAGAAGAUUUCAUCUCCCAUCCCAGUGAAGGUACAUCACCAGUCGAUAGAGAAUUUUGAAAGAGGUUGAUCAAAAGCAGCUUCUGCACGGAAAUCAGCUAAUACAAUUAAGAAGCUUCAGGAUAGAAGCCAUGUCUGCCCUCUACUUGGUUUCAGACAUCUCACAUUUUUCCAUGAUUUGUCAAAGGAAAGCAAUCCUUCUUUUGCUGCCCAGACCACUUCAUAAAGAAGAUACAGAUCUUCCCCUUGUCUGUUAUUCAGCACAUCUUCAACAGCUGAAGGAGGCCUUGGUGCCACGUAAGCAAAGAGCAGGAAAGCUCAUGACCAUUGUUUGGAUUUGGGCGUAUCCCAAACAACUGCAGCCACUCGAACCAAGGGAAGAGGACCCCUACCAGGUGGAUUCCCAAAGGAAAUGUGGUGGAGUUCCCAGGCCACCACAAAGAAGAGGUCUGCUGCUCCUGUUGCCCCUAAAUGUGUACUCAAGACACUUGUCUUCUUUUCUGUUCAUGUCGUGUUUCACUUGA
RNAcentral lists this long non-coding RNA (557 nucleotides) under Anas platyrhynchos platyrhynchos (common mallard). RNAcentral describes it as "lncRNA (ENSAPLG00000019818.1)". The record is from RNAcentral. Lineage: Eukaryota; Metazoa; Chordata; Aves; Anseriformes; Anatidae.